RNAcentral lists this long non-coding RNA (813 nucleotides) under Marmota monax (woodchuck). Lineage: Eukaryota; Metazoa; Chordata; Mammalia; Rodentia; Sciuridae. The record is from RNAcentral.
GCGGUGACGCUGAGCAGCAGGCGCCAUCAGCUAGUGCGCUGUGUGGCUGGACUGUGCUGCUUGGUAGGUGAAAGGCACCCUUGACUAGGUGUUUUCAACUCAGGGUGGUUUGGGGUGAGCGAGGCAGCCCCUGCAGCCCCUUGGCAGUGUGCGUUUCUCCACCAGGUGAUCGUGUCCUCAUGAAGAGCUGGUCCCGAGCCCUCUCCCACACUGCUAGAGGAGAUGCCUGGAUUAGAGUAAAGCAAACUGACCGUGCGUUUGGAUGAGAUGUACCUGGGGAAUCGCUUGUAUUGCGUCUGAGCAGAGAGGAAACUGCCUUCGUUGGUCCCAGGGGGUGCUGCUAGUUAAUGACAGAUUCCCGGCCCUGCAAGCCAACCUACGUUCCCUCUGCCUUUAAUGUGCCUCUUUCCCGUCCCUCUUCCUCAGCCUCUCCCUCUUCAGCCUGGCACACAGCCGCAACGGCAUGACUCCUCCUGUGGGACACAUACUGAGUAGACUCCAAGGUACAUCUGUCUUGGGGGCCAGUGUCAUCGACUUAAGAUGCUGGCACGGGCCACCUGGUCUGGAGGGAGACCAAAGAGGACAGUGAAUGAAUGAUGUGGGAAGGUCUCUUCCUGCUCCUGGGAAGUAGCUCACGGUGACCCCACUGUGAGCCAGUAGCACCAUUUUCAGAUCAAACAAAUACAAGUUACCGAGGGAACUGAUUUGUGGUUUCCCCCAGGUGUGAAAACAGUCAAGCCUUGUAGACCUUUCUGCAUAUUUUUUCUUUCAUUAUCUAUUUUUACUGCCUGGGGUAGAUCACUGUUUCUCAAA